Molecule: long non-coding RNA, 747 nt
Filed under: Marmota monax (woodchuck)
Lineage: Eukaryota; Metazoa; Chordata; Mammalia; Rodentia; Sciuridae
Source: RNAcentral
AGAAAAUGACUAUUAAGAAUUGUCCACUUAAAUAUAGACUAAAACACAGGAAUAGUUAUAAAAUUGAUGUUUUUUAGCACUUCUGGAGGAAAUUAAUAACCCCUGAAUGAGCUUGACUUCUCUAGAGUAAAUGAUGUUAAACAAACUGGUUUUGAUGUUUUCUAGUCUAGAGUAAGGGGGCUAUUAUAGAUAAUAAAUGGUAAUUUCACCAAGGCUUAUGAUAAUCACUUGGUGUAAAGAUGAGAAAACAGUAUUUCUGAACUGUUGGACUCAAUGUCUCACAUAUUGAGGGCGCAGUCCCUAGCCCACAGGGCUAUUGGGAGAUGGUGGACCUAGUGGAAAGAAGUUAGGUCAUUGGAGGCAUCCCUCAGAUGGGCUAUCUAUGUGUAUAUUAUUGCAUGUGUGUAUGUUUAAAUAACUUCAGAGAUACUAUCCAUCCAACUAACUCACCUUAAGUAUUUGAUUGCUCAGCUGCCAGGCUAGUCUCACCUAGCAAAAUAGUUGUGAAGAAAAUGGACAGCGCUUUCAUAAAACUUAUGUUUCAAUGAUGCAGUGCUUAAUGGAGUAGAGCUCUGAAUUAAAAAUAGAACAGGUUGAUGAGGUUGUAGAGUUAAGAUUGAGGUUGUUAAUGUGUACAAGAUGAUCAAAGGAGGUCUCAUAAAACUGACCCUUGAGCAUAUUGUGUGCUCUGUUUAACAGAAGGAUUAACCAGUGAUGAGUGAAAUAGAGCAAUAGCAACUAUUAUCA